RNAcentral lists this ribosomal RNA (279 nucleotides) under uncultured bacterium. RNAcentral's name for it is "partial 16S ribosomal RNA". It matches the Rfam family "Bacterial small subunit ribosomal RNA", at positions 28 to 334 of the family's 1533-position model. The record is from RNAcentral.
GAUGAACGCUGGCGGUAUGCUUAACACAUGCAAGUCGAACGGAUGUCUUCGGACAUUAGUGGCGGACGGGUGAGUAACGCGUGAGAAUCUAGCUUCAGGUUGGGGACAACAGUUGGAAACGACUGCUAAUACCGAGUAUGCCGAGAGGUGAAAGAUUAAUUGCCUGAAGAAGAGCUCGCGUCUGAUUAGCUAGUUGGUGGGGUAAGAGCUUACCAAGGCGACGAUCGGUAGCUGGUCUGAGAGGACGAUCAGCCACACUGGGACUGAGACACGGCCCAG